ACGCAUUUUCAUGAAAUGGGUUAAGCCUUCUCCCAAUUUAUGGUUUUUUACACACCCAGAUAAAACUAUGUUCCAUGAAUGGCAGUCCCUUUUGGAGGUUCCAUCAAAGAGCUUAAUAGCUUCAGAGACUAAACCAAAUUUGAAGUAGCCUGAUAAGAUGGUGUUAUAUGAAACCACACUGGGUUGAGGCAUGAAGUGAAGAAGCUUGUGGGCAUCAGACAAGGCUUGGGAAUUGAUGUAGGCCUGAAGGAGGAUAUUGCAUUGAUAUACAUGGGCAAUGAGCCCAUUUUUGACAAGGGAAGCAUGGAGGACUGGUGCCUUGUACAUGUGACCAUGUGAGUAUAGCUCAAUACUUCGAAUAUAUUUAUGUUGGGGAGUUGAGUGAAGUGGCUUAGCGCAUGUUGGGUAAAACUCCAUCCUUACCGCUUAAUCAUUUAAGUUGAAUUUAAGUUAAAUUAUAUUUUAACUUAUAACUUAUUACUUAAUUUUUAUUUUAAGUAUUAAAACAGUUUGAUAAAAUUAACUUAAAAGUAAUUUUAAAUUAUCAAAUUGAUAUAUUUAUCAUCUUAAAUUUUAGGUAGAGUAAUAAAGAUCGUAGAAUAAUAAAGAAAAUCGUGAAGAUAAUUAAAACAAAUAAAAGUAAAAUAAAUAUGUGAACUUAAAAAAAUUAAUUAUUUUUAACUUUAAGUCGUACCAUUAAAUUAUUUAACCAAACAUACUUAAUUUACUUAAUCACUUAAAUUAAAUUAUUAAAUUACUUUAAGUUAUUAAAUUAGUUUACUACACAGCCUCUUAGUGUAUGUAUAAAUCAAUUUAAAGAAUAUAUUGUAAGUUGCAUUCAAUGAAGUUUUUGUAAGGGAUUCAACAUGAAUAAGCUUAGCAUCAACUUAAAAUUACAAAUCAUGUUAGUUGAAAAAUAUUAUUAAAAUAUAAAAUAAUUAUUAACUAUAAUUUAGAAAUAAAAUCAAAUUAUAAUGAAUUUGAUUGUCAAAAUAAAUCAAAAUUCAUUUUAUUUGAAAUCUAUUUGAUAAUUAAAUUCAUCAUAAUUAUCUUUCAUAUUAAUAUAAAUUAGGUGAAGUAAAUUUAUAAAUGAUGAAAAAAAAUUUCUUUUUUAUUAGUCUAAGAAAAAUAGAAAUCUAAACAUAAUUAUAGUAGAAUAUUAAUCAUAUCGAAGAGAACCCAUCGCUAAAAAAAUUUAAUAAAAUAUCAAAUACAAAAUUACGAUAAAAUCAUCUUAAUUAAAUUAAAUUUUAUAAUACAUAUUAAAUUUAAAUAAGAUUAAUUUUAUAAACAAUAAAAUUAAAGGUAAAAACACAAUCAAAACACUUACAAUGCACAAGAAGAAUACAAGGAUUCCUUUUCUUCUGCUGCCUUCAAACCCAAUUAUGUACUCAUGUACAUUCGCGGGGAUAGCUCAGUUGGGAGAGCGUCAGACUGAAGAUCUGAAGGUCGCGUGUUCGAUCCACGCUCACCGCAUUUUUACGUCUUUUACCGUCAAUAACCAAAUCUCUGCUAGGCAUUCCAUCGAACAUUUUCCUUGCACCCCCAAUUUUCCCAACUUCUGCUUACAUCCUAAUAACAUCGGUGCCUAGAAAAGCAUCCAAAUUUGAACAAACCUUAACAAUAUCUGCAUGCACUGGUUGCCCAAAUCCCAAAUCACAACAAGGAAUAACAAUAGAAUACGUGAAACCAUCAGGCCUAACAGAAGUGCAUGCAAUGCAUUUUCAUGAAUGGGUCAAAGCUUCUCCCAAUUUAUGGCUUUUAACACACCCAGAUAAAACUAUAUUCCAUGAAUGGCAGUCCCUUUGGGAGGUUCCAUCAAAGAGCUUAAUAGCUUCAGAGACUAAACCAAAUUUGAAGUAGCCUGAUAAGAUGGUGUUAUAUGAAACCACACUGGGUUGCGGCAUAAGUGAAGAAGCUUGUGGGCUCCAGACAAGGCUUGGGAUUGAUGCAGGCCUGAAGGAGGAUGUUGCAUUGAUAGACAUGGGCAAUCAGCCCUUCUUUGAGAAGGGAAGCAUGGAGGACUAGUGCCUUGUACACGUGGGUAUAGCUCAAUUUUU
Molecule: long non-coding RNA, 2060 nt
Filed under: Vitis vinifera (wine grape)
Lineage: Eukaryota; Viridiplantae; Streptophyta; Magnoliopsida; Vitales; Vitaceae
Description: long non-coding RNA (VVIN_LNC001926)
Rfam family: tRNA (bases 1404-1476)
Source: RNAcentral